RNAcentral lists this ribosomal RNA (708 nucleotides) under uncultured spirochete. Its description in RNAcentral is "bacterial SSU rRNA". It matches the Rfam family "Bacterial small subunit ribosomal RNA", at positions 59 to 759 of the family's 1533-position model. The record is from RNAcentral. Lineage: Bacteria; Pseudomonadati; Spirochaetota; Spirochaetia; Spirochaetales.
AAGUCGGACGGCAAGCACCAGCAAUGGUGCNUAGAGUGGCGGACUGGUGAGUAACGCGUGGGUGACCUACNUACUGGACGGGGAUAGCCGUUAGAAAUAGCGGGUAAUACCGGAUAUGGUUGACUUACUGUGGUAAGGCAAAGAAAGGAGCUCUGGCUCCGCCAGUGGAUGGGCCCGCGUCCCAUUAGCUAGUUGGUGAGGUAACGGCCCACCAAGGCGAUGAUGGGUAGCCGGCCUGAGAGGGUGAACGGCCACAUUGGGACUGAGAUACGGCCCAAACUCCUACGGGAGGCAGCAGCUAAGAAUAUUCCGCAAUGGACGAAAGUCUGACGGAGCGACGCCGCGUGGAUGACGAAGGCCGGAAGGUUGUAAAAUCCUUUUGCGGACGAAGAAUAAGGCGGGUAGGGAAUGACCCGUUGAUGACGCUAGUCCGUGAAUAAGCCCCGGCUAAUUACGUGCCAGCAGCCGCGGUAACACGUAAGGGGCGAGCGUUGUUCGGAAUUAUUGGGCGUAAAGGGCGCGUAGGCGGUUAUGUAAGUCUGGCGUGAAAGGCCGGGGCUUAACCCCGGGACUGCGUUAGAAACUGUGUAACUGGAGUCAUGGAGGGGGAGUUGGAAUUCCGAGUGUAGGGGUGAAAUCUGUAGAUAUUCGGAAGAACACCGGUGGCGAAGGCGAACUUCCAGCCGAUGACUACGCUAGGCGCGAAAG